ACUACGGGCGGCAGCAGUGGGGAAUAUUGCACAAUGGGGGAAACCCUGAUGCAGCGACGCCGCGUGAGUGAAGAAGUAUUUCGGUAUGUAAAGCUCUAUCAGCAGGGAAGAAAAUGACGGUACCUGACUAAGAAGCCCCGGCUAACUACGUGCCAGCAGCCGCGGUAAUACGUAGGGGGCAAGCGUUAUCCGGAUUUACUGGGUGGAAAGGGAGCGUAGACGGCCAGACAAGUCAGAAGUGAAAGCCCAGGGCUCAACUCUGGGACUGCUUUUGAAACUGCCGGGCUGGAGUGCAGGAGAGGUAAGCGGAAUUCCUGGUGUAGCGGUGAAAUGCGUAGAUAUUAGGAGGAACACCAGUGGCGAAGGCGGCUUACUGGACUGUAACUGACGUUGAGGCUCGAAAGCGUGGGGAGCAAACAGGAUUAGAUACCCGAGUAGUC
Molecule: ribosomal RNA, 440 nt
Filed under: uncultured bacterium
Lineage: Bacteria
Description: partial 16S ribosomal RNA
Rfam family: Bacterial small subunit ribosomal RNA
Source: RNAcentral